CCAAUAGCGUAUAUUAAAGUUGUUGCAGUUAAAAAGCUCGUAGUUGAAUUUCGGGGUCAGUAGGUUGGUCGUGCCACUGGUAUGCACUGGUCUCACUGAUUCCUCCUUCCUGAUGAACCGUAAUGCCAUUAAUUUGGUGUUGCGGGGAAUCUGGACUGUUACUUUGAAAAAAUUAGAGUGUUUAAAGCAGGCUAACGCUUGAAUACAUUAGCAUGGAAUAAUGAAAUAGGACGAUCGAUCCUAUUUUGUUGGUUUCUAGGAUUGACGUAAUGAUUAAUAGGGAUAGUUGGGGGCAUUAGUAUUCAAUUGUCAGAGGUGAAAUUCUUGGAUUUAUUGAAGACUAACUACUGCGAAAGCAUUUGCCAAGGAUGUUUUCAUUAAUCAAGAACGAAAGUUAGGGGAUCGAAGACGAUCAGAUACCGUCGUAGUCUUAACCAUAAACUAUGCCGACUAGGGAUCGGAUGAUGUUAAUUUUUUAAUGACUCAUUCGGCGCCUUACG
This 500-nucleotide ribosomal RNA is filed under the name uncultured Glomeromycotina. RNAcentral's name for it is "partial small subunit ribosomal RNA". It matches the Rfam family "Eukaryotic small subunit ribosomal RNA", at positions 591 to 1092 of the family's 1831-position model. The record is from RNAcentral. Lineage: Eukaryota; Fungi; Glomeromycota.